UGGUGAUGAGGAUGACAUUUAUGCAGAAGGUCCCUAAAGCGCUCCCAUGUCUCAAAAAAUUGUUUCCCAUCCAAUUGUGAGAAACUAGCAAUUGCCUUCCUCGGCUA
Small nucleolar RNA from Malania oleifera, 107 nucleotides. The record is from RefSeq and is a predicted model, not a curated record. NCBI's taxonomy places the organism in Eukaryota, Viridiplantae, Streptophyta, Magnoliopsida, Santalales, Ximeniaceae.